This 489-nucleotide ribosomal RNA is filed under the name uncultured bacterium. RNAcentral's name for it is "partial 16S ribosomal RNA". It matches the Rfam family "Bacterial small subunit ribosomal RNA", at positions 28 to 507 of the family's 1533-position model. The record is from RNAcentral.
GAUGAACGCUAGCUACAGGCUUAACACAUGCAAGUCGAGGGGCAGCAUGAACUUAGCUUGCUAAGUUUGAUGGCGACCGGCGCACGGGUGAGUAACACGUAUCCAACCUGCCGAUGACUCGGGGAUAGCCUUUCGAAAGAAAGAUUAAUACCCGAUGGCAUAGUUCUUCCGCAUGGUAGAACUAUUAAAGAAUUUCGGUCAUCGAUGGGGAUGCGUUCCAUUAGGUUGUUGGCGGGGUAACGGCCCACCAAGCCUUCGAUGGAUAGGGGUUCUGAGAGGAAGGUCCCCCACAUUGGAACUGAGACACGGUCCAAACUCCUACGGGAGGCAGCAGUGAGGAAUAUUGGUCAAUGGACGAGAGUCUGAACCAGCCAAGUAGCGUGAAGGAUGACUGCCCUAUGGGUUAUAAACUUCUUUUAUACGGGAAUAAAGUGAGGCACGUGUGCCUUUUUGUAUGUACCGUAUGAAUAAGGAUCGGCUAACUCCGUG